This 1587-nucleotide long non-coding RNA is filed under the name Arabidopsis thaliana (thale cress). RNAcentral's name for it is "ncRNA (AT1G08387)". Lineage: Eukaryota; Viridiplantae; Streptophyta; Magnoliopsida; Brassicales; Brassicaceae. The record is from RNAcentral.
AACCUUGUUUUAGCCCAUGGACCGCUUCUAUAAUAAGGCGUUGAUCCUUUCGUAACAAGCACCUGCGUUGGCACUUGUGGCGUAAUCUGAAGCACAAAGUCGCCAACCGAUGGAUCAGUGUAACUUUUCCAAGAACUCAACACCUGCUUCUCGCCAGUGGCGAGGUUAUACUUCAGGGUUGAGGAAGGAAGCAUAGUAUCACCAAGAUGGUCAAAGCUUUGCCAUAGAGUUCUUCCCGAAAAAUUGUCUAUGACAAUAAGAUUUCCGGUGUCUGAAAGCUCUGCACGAGACCCGUUAGAAACAAGAGCUUCUCCACUGGACCAUGCAACGCCAUGUUUGCCAUUAAAUAACAGAAGACUUCCAUUGUUGCUGAUAGCGAGAUUUGCCGUGGAAUCUGUAACAGGCUUUUCUCUAUUGGCCACCCACACAACCACCCGGGGAAUAAUACCCUUGAACCAGAUUCCGACAUACUGAUUCUGGGAGUUAUUAAAAUUGAAGAACCCCAGUUCAUAAAAACCAUUAGAGGAGCUGAGAGUUUGUCCUAUUGGCAAAGGACUUUCUUUCGUUAUCCCUGCAGAGCUAGAACUUAUAAAGAAGCUAGAUAAGAGCAAAUAAGCAAAGAACACGAUCCACUUCUUCCCCAUAUUUGUUAUUUCUCUCCAAAAACUAUCUUUUUUAGAUUAGCUUUACAUAAAGCGAGAAAGCAAGAAAAAAAAAAAAAAAAACUCUCUUUGCACAUUUUUUGUUUUGUCAACUCAGGGACUGACUUGUGAGAAUAAUACAGAACAAAAAUCAUGCGUUAUUUAAUAAUCUUUACUAAUGUUCCAAAAAUCAUGCGUUAUUUGAUAAUAGAGAACAAAAGUGUCAAAGCACGAAUAAGUCCUUACCCAAUCAGAUACGCAACGUUGUCAUUGUUCAAUGCUAUCAAGAACAAAAAGAAGAAGACUUUGGUUAUCAAAGACUUUAGAAUAAGUUACUGCAAAUUUUCUUCUAUUCCAUUCAAAGACAAUCAUUUACUUAAAUACACAAAAAAGGUGUUCAGAAAGUAACUGCUCACUAAACAAAUAACAACGUGAAUGAGUGGGAGACAAUUCCAAGUCCUUAUUAGCUCUGCAUCAAUAAUAGAAACAAUGCAUACAUGAUAGAUUGGCACGAAGAAGUCCUUACCCAAUCAGAUACGCAACGUUGUCAUUGUUCAAGUCCUUAUUAGUUCUGCAUCAAUCGAAAGAAUCCAAUCCUUGCUUCACCAUUACAACACAAUAACUUUCUUGAAAUGCAGGCUAUGUUUUAUCUCGUUUAGACAUUUCCUCGAACACUUGCAGUGCAUAAAAAAAACCUCCGAGCCUCGCUAAUGUCGUUAGACCCGUAAUGACCCUAAUCGACUGAUUCCCAACUCCAACCAUAUGGGCUUAACUGUUUCUGUCCAAAAGAACCGAAGAAUUCAACAGUCAACAUUGGUGUGCCACUAGGCCCGAGAAUAAUCUCCCGGGAAGUCUUAAAAUGAAGUAGAGUCAACGAUUUGUUUUUGAGCAAAGUAUUUUGUCAAUUUAGUGGGAAGUGGAAUCAUGUAAUCAUGCCUAAUAAAAU